UUAAGCGAGUUUACUUGACUUGAAUAUAAUAAAUUCGAAAUUAGUAUGGCCCUUGCGCAAGGAUGACACGCGGUUGACGUGAAGCGUUCCUUUUUCGU
This 98-nucleotide small nuclear RNA is filed under the name Trichoplax adhaerens. Lineage: Eukaryota; Metazoa; Placozoa; Uniplacotomia; Trichoplacea; Trichoplacidae. The record is from RNAcentral.